Molecule: long non-coding RNA, 249 nt
Filed under: Coffea arabica (coffee)
Lineage: Eukaryota; Viridiplantae; Streptophyta; Magnoliopsida; Gentianales; Rubiaceae
Description: long non-coding RNA (CARA_LNC001304)
Source: RNAcentral
UUAUUUUCUGUAUUAAAAGGCCUUCAGCCUUUUCCAGUCCCCAUCUUAAAAAUUUCAAAGCCAUUACUCAGUGGAAGAUUAAAACAGCUUUAGAGAUUAUGGCUACCAUUAGAGUUGGCCUGAGUCUCAUGCUGUCGAUAGCAACAUUCCUCCUGCUCGUUCUUACCUCUCGAGGCACUGCAGCCGAGGAUUUCCAUACGUGGUGUAAAAAGACAACCCACAGCGCCAAGUGUAUUGAUGUGAUCUCUG